RNAcentral lists this small RNA (1958 nucleotides) under Pongo abelii (Sumatran orangutan). RNAcentral describes it as "processed transcript". Lineage: Eukaryota; Metazoa; Chordata; Mammalia; Primates; Hominidae. The record is from RNAcentral.
GCUGAGGGUGGUGAGGACAGGCCUAGUGUGAGCUGGACUGGGGCACCUGGUGCUGAGGGUGAUGAGGACAGGCCUGGUGUGAGCCGGACUGGGGCACCUGGUGCCACCCACAGCCAGCCUUUGACCUUCAGGGACGGGUUGGGGCUCUGGUUGCCUGGGGAGGGGUCUCCAGGGCUUCCUGCCCUUUGAGCUUGGGCCAGCAUCCCAGCACUUGGCAGGCAGGAGGGGGUUCUUGGGGCUUGGGCCAGCCUGUCCCUUCCUGCCUCCUGUGUUCCUCUGUCCUUGCUCAUCACUUCUGUGCUGGGGACCCUUCUUUCUUCUCUGCUGUCCCUCAAGGCUGUGUCUGGAAGUCUCGGAGAGCCCAGUUGGUGGGCCAGUGAUCUUUGUGCUUGCUGAGCUGGAGGACAGGCGCAGGCAUGCUGUCUGCCCACCCCACACUCUGAUGGGCCUGUUGGCCAUGCCUCCCUGCUCACACAGCUGCGUUCUCUCUGCAAAAAGCUUAGAGAUGGAUUUUGACAGAAGGGACGUAAACAUAAUCCUGGUUGGCAUCAGUUUGGGUCUGCAGUGGCUGUGACUGCCCAAGGGCCUCUUGGUCCCCAGGCCCACCUGGCUACGGUGCCAGUGGGUCUGCUCCUGGCUUCUCCCAGUGGGCCAGGCACAGCCCAUGCAAGAGUGUGUGGAAGCGAGCUGGAGCCCUCUGCAGGGCUCGUGUGGCCCGAGAGAGGCCUGUGUUCUCUGGGAGGGCACAGACUCCAUCAAGAUGGAGAACGGGCAGAGCACAGCCGCCAAGCUGGGGCUGCCGCCCCUGACGCCCGAGCAGCAGGAGGCCCUUCAGAAGGCCAAGAAGUACGCCAUGGAGCAGAGCAUCAAGAGCGUGCUGGUGAAGCAGACCAUCGCGCACCAGCAGCAGCAGCUCACCAAUCUGCAGAUGGCAGCAGUGACAAUGGGCUUUGGAGAUCCUCUCUCACCUUUGCAAUCGAUGGCGGCUCAGCGGCAGCGGGCGCUGGCCAUCAUGUGCCGUGUCUACGUGGGCUCUAUCUACUACGAGCUGGGGGAGGACACCAUCCGCCAGGCCUUUGCACCCUUUGGCCCCAUCAAGAGCAUCGACAUGUCCUGGGAUUCCGUCACCAUGAAGCACAAGGGCUUUGCCUUCGUGGAGUAUGAGGUCCCCGAAGCUGCACAGCUGGCCUUGGAGCAGAUGAACUCGGUGAUGCUGGGGGGCAGGAACAUCAAGGUGGGCAGACCCAGCAACAUAGGGCAGGCCCAGCCCAUCAUAGACCAGCUGGCUGAGGAGGCACGGGCCUUCAACCGCAUCUACGUGGCCUCUGUGCACCAGGACCUCUCAGACGAUGACAUCAAGAGUGUGUUUGAGGCCUUUGGCAAGAUCAAGUCCUGCACACUGGCCCGGGACCCCACAACGGGCAAGCACAAGGGCUACGGCUUCAUUGGUGAGCUGGGGCGGCUGAGGCGGGAUGGGGGCCACCUGAGGCUGGGGCUGGCCCUGCUCACUGCUGCUCCUGCCCACAGAGUAUGAGAAGGCCCAGUCGUCCCAAGAUGCUGUGUCCUCCAUGAACCUCUUUGACCUGGGUGGCCAGUACUUGCGGGUGGGCAAGGCCGUCACACCGCCCAUGCCCCUACUCACACCCGCCACACCUGGAGGCCUCCCACCUGCCGCUGCUGUGGCAGCUGCUGCAGCCACUGCCAAGAUCACAGCUCAGGAAGCAGUGGCCGGAGCAGCGGUGCUGGGUACCCUGGGUACACCUGGACUAGUGUCCCCAGCAUUGACCCUGGCCCAGCCCCUGGGCACUUUGCCCCAGGCCGUCAUGGCUGCCCAGGCACCUGGAGUCAUCACAGGUGUGACCCCAGCCCGUCCUCCUAUCCCGGUCACCAUCCCCUCGGUGGGAGUGGUGAACCCCAUCCUGGCCAGCCCUCCGACGCUGGGUCUCCUGGAGCCCAAG